CUCAGCGUGCAACAAUAAGCCGCGUAAGGCUAUGACAACGUAGGAAGCCGGUGCGAAGCCGGCGCGGUCCCGCCACUGUAAUCGGGGAGCGAACCUCAUAAGCCACGGCCAUGGGCUGGAAGGCGAGGCGAGCGGCGAUCCGAGAGCCAGGAGACUCGGGUCAUAGCGUCCUGCUAA
RNAcentral lists this non-coding RNA (177 nucleotides) under Mycobacterium sp. Lineage: Bacteria; Bacillati; Actinomycetota; Actinomycetes; Mycobacteriales; Mycobacteriaceae. The record is from RNAcentral.